Molecule: RNA transcript, 6857 nt
Organism: Cryptomeria japonica (Japanese cedar)
Lineage: Eukaryota; Viridiplantae; Streptophyta; Pinopsida; Cupressales; Cupressaceae
Gene name: glutamine synthetase cytosolic isozyme 1-3
Exons: 5
Source: RefSeq, a predicted model, not a curated record
UUUCAAACGUCACUUUCUUCUUUAUUCACGAUGUUUCGCAGCGCCUACACUAUGCUUCCUUUCAAACAUCUCCUCUUCUUCUUUAUUUAUAGUAGCUACCCAGUUGCACUCAAACACUCCAAAACACUCGAUGGCGUCGAUGACGAAGUUAUUUUUGUUGGGUGUUAUUCCCCUCUUUCUUCUCCGCUUCUGCUGCGGAUGUAUCCACAGGGAAAGGGAAGCUCUUCUUCACAUUAGAGCACUUCUUCACAUUAAAAAUAACUCUCAUCCCUCUUAUUUUUAUUCGUGGGAGAAUGGAACAGAUUGUUGCGACUGGAACGGCAUAUCCUGCAGUAACACCACGCAUCAUGUAGUCAGUGUUGUUCUGACUACAUACCGUACCCGCGUUUUCAAAUCCGUACCCGGGUUUUCAAAUCCGUACCCGCGUUUGGUGGAAGGAGGCAUCAUAUGGCCGAGCUUGUGCACCCUCACUUUUCUUGAAACCAUAGACCUCUCUUGGAAUGGAAUAUCAGGUACUCUUCCUCCCUGCUUGGAAAACCUCUCUUCUCUCACAUACCUGGAUUUAAGUGGUAAUAGUUUGAGUGGGAAAAUUCCAAGCAUGUCUUCUCUCACAUAUCUGGAUUUAUGUUAUAAUAGUUUGAGUGGGAAUAUUCCAUUGUCCUUUGCAAACAUGUCUUCUCUCACACACCUGGGUUUAAGCCGUAAUAUGUUGAGUGGGAACAUUCCAUUGUCCUUUACAAACAUGUCUUCUCUUGACGUCCUUCGGUUAAAUGACAACAGUUUCGGAGGUGAAACUGUCCUUAGUACUAUUUGUAUGCUCAAGAGCCUUGGUGAAGUUGAUAUUAGUAACAACCAACUGAAUCGGAGCUUACCAUCUUGUCUCGGUAGUCUUCCUUCUCUAAGUUAUCUAUUUCUGUCCAACAAUCACUUGAGUGGUAUUAUCCCAGAUUCUUUAGGCAACAUUUCCUCGCUCGUUUGUUUUGAUGUUUCUUAUAAUGCUUUAAGUGGUUCUGUCCCAGAUUCCUUGGGGGCUCUGUUUUCAUUAGAAUACUUGGAUCUGUCUUACAACCAGCUAAAUGGAACUCUUCCCUCCUCAUUUUCAAGGCUCUCCUCCCUUAGUUGGCUGAAAGCUGAGGGGAAUGCAUUUGCUUCCUUAGCACUACCCUCUUCACUUGAAUAUCUCGAUCUCACCUUAGACGGCCAUCAGAUAAUUUCAGAGGCUUUUUUUCACAACCUUAGCAAAUUAGUGGGCCUGUCUCUGUCUGAUUGUGAACUUAAUAUCAGCCCUACUUGGAUUCCAUCAUUCCAAUUAUCCACCUUACAUAUGAAAUCAUGUAAGACGGAUGGUCAAAUCCAGUCGUGGAUUUCGACUCAAUUCUCACUUGAAGAGUUGCAACUAGCUGACAACAAUCUUGUUGGAGAAAUUCCCUCUUGGCUCAUGGAUAUGAGUCAUCUACGGUCAAUCAAUCUCACAGGAAAUUUUCUGGAAGGUCGCCUUUUGCUAAACACUUCAGCUCAGAAAUACUUGGAGGUCUUCGAUGUGUCUCACAAUGCAUUAAGCGGACAACUACCAUCAAUUUGGCUUCCUGGUAUACAAGUAUUGUUACUCAACCACAAUUUCUUGACGGGAAAGAUCCCUCCAACCUUACAGUUUAGCUCUUCGCUAUUUAUGUUAGAUUUGGCAAAUAAUCAGUUGAAUGGAAUGAUCCCUCAAAGCUUGGCCAACUGUUCUCAGCUUCAAAUGUUGAAUUUGGGGGAUAAUGAUUUUGGGGGAAUGAUUCCAUAUGAGUUUGGUGGGCUAAGUAAACUGCAGUCACUAGUGAUAAAGAAUAACCAGUUCAACGGAUCAUUCCCUCCUUCCAUAUCAAACUGCACAGAAUUAUAUUUUCUAGAUGUUGGGCAAAACUUACUGAGAGGACACAUUUUUAAGUCAAUUGGAAACCUUUCGAAGCUCAAAGUCUUGGCAAUGAGGAAGAAUAGUUUUGAAGGUAGCAUUCCUGCUGAAAUUGGGCAGUUGAAGCACCUCCAGAUCUUGGACCUUUCUUCAAAUCACCUAUCAGGAUCUAUACCACGUAGCAUUUUCAAUUUACAAGCAAUGAUGACAGAACCACACCAGGAAUUUAGCAUGAUUCAGUUUCAAUAUGCUGCCCAAGCACCACCGUCAUCUUACACAUAUGAGAAUGGGUUGAAUAUGGAUUCCAAGGGAAGAGAUGAACACUACACAUAUAUUUUCCCCAACAUGGUGUCAAUAGAACUUUCAAACAAUCAACUAAAUGGGGAUCUUCCCUCUGAUUUAGGAAAGUUGAAGGGGUUGAAGUUGCUCAACCUUUCUAUGAAUAAUCUCAAUGGUGUUGUUCCAAAUAGUAUUGUAGAAAUGAUAUGGUUGGAAACAUUAGAUUUAUCUACAAAUAAUUUUUCUGGACCAAUUCCUUCAGAUCUUGGUUCUUUGAGUUAUUUGGGAGCCCUCAACUUUUCCAACAACAACCUUUCUGGUAAUAUACCUCAAGGAGGACACAUGACAACAUUUAAGAAAUCAUCUUAUUUAGAGAAUCCAUAUCUAUGGGGAUGUCCACUACCAAAGAAGUGCAAUUGGCCAGAGUUUGCUCCAGCUCCUCCUCCUGUUUCUACAUCUAUUAAAGAAGAAAAGCAAAGUGAGGAAAGUGUGUGGUAUGGGAUUGGAUUGGGACUGUCAUAUGGAGCAGGUUUUGCAGCAGUGGUUGUAUUUAUUGUAUUAAGAAGAAAGUGGCAACAAAAAUACUUCAAAGGAGUUGAUUUGGUCUUGAAAUUUUGUUUUCCACGGUUCCGCAAUUUGACAUUAUGAAAUUCUAUUUCUUUUGUUGAGAUCUUGGAAUUAUUGUAAGCAAUCUCCACAUACAUUAAUAAUGUUCUAUUUCUUAUUUGGUAUUUUCAAUAGAAUUUAAUUUUGGUGUCCGUAAAAACUACCAUUUUCACUUCAAAUUAUUGAUAGAUCUUAUAUUUUUCAUUUGAAUUAUGUUUUCUAGGAUUGUAUUAAACAUUUUUUUUUUAUGCAUACCUUUAAACAGAAUAUAAUUCAAUAAAUGUAAUGGUGGCAUUGGCAUCAUUUCCUUUUGUCCACAAGUAAUUGUCAUCUAAAUUUAUUUUUUAAGCUUGCUAUUAUCAAAUUUUAAAGCAAUCAAUGAAAAUAUUGUUGACGAAUUGCCUUUGACGUUUUUGGGUAUAGACAAAAAGCUCUAAUGUCAAAUGCAGUUUGAAAGUUUUUAUUUUUCCAUGCAACUAAUAACUAUUCCAAAUCAUUAUUGUUGAUUAUUUCUCUCUUUUUAAUCAAAUGUUUAAAACAUACAUAAUCUAUGUUGAGCAUUUAGAUCAAAAGAGUAACUUAUCUUAUAGUAUUUAUGUUAGAUUUGUGUUUGCAAAGGAUAUCCAAAUGAUCAUACCAAUAUUUCAUAACAAUCUAAUUAAGAAAAUUAACUUGUCACUCAAUUUGCUUCAUUCAACAAGUAUAAAUACAUUGCUUAUAAUUUUAAUUUUAAUUUUGAAUAAUAAAAGAAGAUUAUUACCAUAACCUUAUUAUUAAUAAAGAAAUUCCCUCGUCAAAUUUUGGUCUGAAUAUUUUUUUGCUGUCAAUAAAUUACUUUUGUCCCAUUUUAAUGGGUUAAUAGAAGUUGAAGAGACUGUUGCAACUGAAUCCUUUCUGGAUGGUUUCUUCUUCCUAUCUUUACUGAGACAUCUAUUCUAUGGGUUUUUGGCCUAUAGAUGAGAAAGAGGCUCAAUUUUUUAAUCUUUUAUUGGAUGAAAAGGUGUACUUGCACUCUAAGCUCUCUAGAAUGCACUCCAAAUUUAUUGGCAUGAAAUUACAGCUGAUAAGUCCAAAAGUUUGAGUUCCUUCAAUGAACAACUUUAAUGGUGCAUCAAUGAUCUCAACCAUUAGACGGUGGCAGUCGAGUCCGCAGCGUGGGAAUGAAGGUGUGUCAAGAGGAGCAUUUCAGUCGAUUUGAUUGCCUGAAUGAAUUAUGGGAGCUUGAUGAAUGUUAAUGACAUUAUUUUGUGCAAAAGUUUGACAGAUCUGCUUAAGUCACAAAUAACAUAGUGGGUGAACUUAUAUAAGCAAAUCACUCAGAAACACUUUCUACAUGGAUCGUCGCCAAAGUAUUCCACAAGUGGGCGAUUGCUGUAUACAAUGUCUGUCACAAGUUUUCCAUCUUUUAUCAUUUAGACUUGGGGUUAGAAGGGUGGAAGAAUUAUAUUGCUAGGUCCUGGCCGUUCUUACCCCUGUUUGUUGGUUUCCUUGUUUCGACUGGAUAAUGUUUGAUGCAGGACAUAAUCUACGGCAAAGGCAAAGAAAACAUCCCUUCUAAAUUAUGUUGAGGCUUGCAUUAUGUCUGAUGCUUAUUUAAGGGGCACCCAUGUCACAACUGAGUUUGAGGCCUUGAAUGGGAUAAAAAUGUUCUUUCUAGAUUAAGUCAGGGCUUCUAUGAGGCCUGCAAGAGGAAAUCUACAGUAACGUGGCUAAUCUAGGAAGGGUAGCAGGAUAAAUGAUGCAAGACGAAAACAACUCCAGGUCGCCUUCAAUCUUCAACACUCAAAAUAAUUAACAAACGCAAUAGCAGAGACACUUUGCUUUCUUCAAUUGAAAUGUAGUCUUGAAAAGAUGCCCGUCCUCUGUUCACAGACCGUGAGGAUGCUGAAGGUUGAGCAAUUUGGCUUUACGCCUGCCACAUUGAUUCGCUUGGAAGUAUCUAAAGCCUUUUCGACAUUGAGGCAUUCUGUCAAACAGUUCAGGUGCCUUUCUCUGCUUCCCAAUUUUGCAUACAUAACUACCACAUCAUCUGACAAAAUUUUUUAAAGAUGGAUGCCUAUGCCCUGUUCCAAAGCUCCCUUUCACAAAUUGUAAGAGUACUGGCAAAGGCCGUGGGCAUUGGCUUAACACCUGCCAAUUGCAUAAAUACUUUAAACUUUUGCAAGGUAUCUAUAUAGUAUAUAUCCAUUUUGAUGUAUAUUCUGCAAUCACUGCGUUGAUAUCUCUCUGUAAACAAUUAAGUGCGUUGCCUAUAAUUUCACAUUGUGCAUACAUAUAUACAGAGCAAGGUUCCUUAACAUACUCAGGACCAAGUUCAUAUUUUAAACUUUCCCUUUCACCCUCUUCUGAUAAGCCAAACGAAACUGAAGAAAAUAAACCAAACAAAUGUUUUUGGGCGAUGCAGAUCGCCACUAGACCCGGAUGCUCCUGCAUCAAUAAAUGAGGAGAAUUUCUGAGAAUACAGCUUAUGUUUGAUAUUAGGAAAAUGAAGCAAGGAUGGCUGAAUAAACUGUGAAGGGAAUCAAUGUGAGAAGAUAUUUUUGUUCAGUGCGCAGAAACACAUGCAUGGUAAGUCCAUAGUACGACAGAAAUUUAGAAAAAAAUCUAGGACAAGUUCAUUACUACAAUGUAUAAAGGCUCCAAGUUUUAGUUCAUCUGGCUGUGAUGAAGUUGCAAGUUGGAGCGCUUGCUAACUUGAUAAUCCACGUUUCAAUUUUUUGCUUAUUUACAGUGACAUAGCAUUAUUUGUAAUAAAUGCUAAUGGAAUUAAGUAUCAUCUUUCGAUUCAGAAACGAUUCAUUUAUUCAAAAAGAAAUUUAAGUAUCAAAUUUUGUCUGCCUUCUUGUAUGUUAACAUCUACUUUGUGUUCCAAUUUCAGACCUUAUCUGGGCCUGUUUCUGAUCCAAAAGAUCUCCCAAAGUGGAAUCAUGAUCGAUCUAGUACUGGAGAGGCACUUGAAAAGGACAGUGAAGUCAUUCUACAUCCUCAGGCUGUCUUCAGAGAUCCAUUCCAUAGGGCAAAGAACAUCUUGGUAAGUUGCUAUGCCAUUAAAACAUAGUGAAUUUGGAUGGUCUGCGUCACUUUGUGCACCAUUGAUUGAUGGGGUUGUUUGUGGGUUUCGGGGGAUUUUCGAUAGAUACAAAUUUAGAUGCAAACAGUCUAGAGCGGCUAAGGCCUUAAAAAUGGAUAUUCAAACUGAAUGCCCCCGAAUAUGAACCAUUAAAGUCAACAUAAGAAGCUUUUUAUUGUGUAAUCUAAUUAUGCUCGCUAUUCCUCUGUGAAGAAAGCUCAAAAAUUAGAGCCAGAGCCUUGCUACUCAUGAGCAAGAGAUACACGAAUAAAAAUCAAAAUCACAGUAAAAGGGAAAGGUACAUGAAUAGUUGCUGAGUAUUUGGAAAUUAGUUCUAGUAUUUAAAUAUUGCAUUUAUGCCAUCAUCUUUAUCACAAGGAUUGUAAUUAGGUUUUUAAUAUUUCGAAAGAGAGAUUUUUUUUUAUUUUUUUAUUUUUUUUUAGUGUUUUGCUAAUCAUAAUUUCUCAUUUUGUUUUGAAGUCGUGAUAUGUGUUCUAAUGUGUUUAUGCAGAAUCAAGAACAAACAAAUAAAAGUGCAGUUGAAGUUGCUUACCUCCAUGUACUUCUGAAUCAUUGAGGCCUUCUGACAUCCACCUCCAUUAGAGAUUGGUCUUUGUCUCAUGGAAAUCAUUGAGGAGGCAGCCAAUCUGUUCAUGGCAAUUAGGAUGCUUAGUUCUUACUCUGAAGCCUCUCCACAUCAUGUGAGAAGAGGUUGUGUUUAAGGAGAAUGGUCUUAGUCUACCAAUAACCAUUGUGCUUUUCACCUGGUCUUUGGUGGUGAGACUGCUAUCUGGUCGGAUUUCAGCAAGUUCUCUUGGUUGAUUCUUGAUAUUUCUUUGUUUGAGUUGUUGCUAUUCAAAUAAAUAAGAUAGUAAUAGUGGUUGAGAUCCUCACAAGAAUAUAUCAGACUCCAAUAAUUGGAUGUCCAAGAUCUACCUUUUCCUUCCUUCACUCUUGCUCUCACUGUAUAGCAGCUUGUUGUAAUUGUGAUAUUGUAACCCAUUUGAA